UUGGUUUUAAAGGUCUAUUGGAGAUUAUGGAGCUGUGCGACAAGUGCUUUCCCAUCGUACAUCUGUGCGGUGUGUGGCGCCUUUGGGGGGUUUAGUGCGUUCGGUUCGGGCUCCGGUCCGUCUGGGCGUAACGCCUUUUCAACU
Molecule: ribosomal RNA, 144 nt
Filed under: Trypanosomatidae sp.
Lineage: Eukaryota; Euglenozoa; Kinetoplastea; Trypanosomatida; Trypanosomatidae
Description: partial small subunit ribosomal RNA
Source: RNAcentral